Molecule: ribosomal RNA, 253 nt
Filed under: uncultured bacterium
Lineage: Bacteria
Description: partial 16S ribosomal RNA
Rfam family: Bacterial small subunit ribosomal RNA
Source: RNAcentral
GACGGAAGGUGCAAGCGUUGCUCGGAAUCACUGGGCGUAAAGCGUGCGCAGGCGGCGCGUUAAGACAGGUGUGAAAGCCCCGAGCUUAACUUGGGAAUUGCGCUUGUGACUGGCGUGCUGGAGUGUGGCAGAGGGAGGUGGAAUUCCACGUGUAGCAGUGAAAUGCGUAGAGAUGUGGAGGAACACCGAUGGCGAAGGCAGCCUCCUGGGCCAGCACUGACGCUCAUGCACGAAAGCGUGGGGAGCAAACAGG